RNAcentral lists this ribosomal RNA (691 nucleotides) under Virgibacillus sp. EMn-2. Its description in RNAcentral is "bacterial SSU rRNA". It matches the Rfam family "Bacterial small subunit ribosomal RNA", at positions 379 to 1061 of the family's 1533-position model. Lineage: Bacteria; Bacillati; Bacillota; Bacilli; Caryophanales; Bacillaceae. The record is from RNAcentral.
AAGUCUGACGGAGCAACGCCGCGUGAGUGAUGAAGGUUUUCGGAUCGUAAAACUCUGUUGUUAGGGAAGAACAAGUUGGGUAGUAACUGACCCAACCUUGACGGUACCUAACCAGAAAGCCACGGCUAACUACGUGCCAGCAGCCGCGGUAAUACGUAGGUGGCAAGCGUUGUCCGGAAUUAUUGGGCGUAAAGCGCUCGCAGGCGGUCCUUUAAGUCUGAUGUGAAAUCUCGCGGCUCAACCGCGAACGGUCAUUGGAAACUGGAGGACUUGAGUACAGAAGAGGAGAGUGGAAUUCCACGUGUAGCGGUGAAAUGCGUAGAGAUGUGGAGGAACACCAGUGGCGAAGGCGACUCUCUGGUCUGUAACUGACGCUGAGGAGCGAAAGCGUGGGGAGCGAACAGGAUUAGAUACCCUGGUAGUCCACGCCGUAAACGAUGAGUGCUAGGUGUUAGGGGGUUUCCGCCCCUUAGUGCUGAAGUUAACGCAUUAAGCACUCCGCCUGGGGAGUACGGCCGCAAGGCUGAAACUCAAAAGAAUUGACGGGGGCCCGCACAAGCGGUGGAGCAUGUGGUUUAAUUCGAAGCAACGCGAAGAACCUUACCAGGUCUUGACAUCCUCUGCUAUUCCUAGAGAUAGGAAGUUCCCUUCGGGGACAGAGUGACAGGUGGUGCAUGGUUGUCGUCAGCUC